RNAcentral lists this ribosomal RNA (789 nucleotides) under uncultured archaeon. RNAcentral describes it as "bacterial SSU rRNA". It matches the Rfam family "Archaeal small subunit ribosomal RNA", at positions 85 to 879 of the family's 1478-position model. The record is from RNAcentral.
ACGGCUCAGUAACACGUGGACAACCUACCCUGAGGAGGGGGAUAACCCCGGGAAACUGGGGAUAAUACCCCAUAGACUAUGGAUGCUGGAAUGCUCUGUAGUUAAAAGGCCCGCCGCCUCAGGAUGGGUCUGCGGCCGAUUAGGUUGUUGUUGGGGUAACGGCCCAACAAGCCUGUAAUCGGUACGGGUUGUGGGAGCAAGAGCCCGGAGAUGGAUUCUGAGACACGAAUCCAGGCCCUACGGGGCGCAGCAGGCGCGAAAACUUUACAAUGCGAGCAAUCGUGAUAAGGGAACUCCGAGUGCCCGUAAAAUCGGGCUGUCCGCCAGUGUAAAUAACUGGUGAAGAAAGGGCCGGGCAAGACCGGUGCCAGCCGCCGCGGUAAUACCGGCGGCUCGAGUGGUGGCCACUAUUACUGGGCUUAAAGCGUUCGUAGCUGGUCUGUUAAGUCUCUGGGGAAAUCUUCCGGCUUAACCGGAAGGCGUCUCAGGGAUACUGACGGACUAGGGACCGGAAGAGGUGAGAGGUACUCCAGGGGUAGGAGUGAAAUCCUGUAAUCCUUGGGGGACCACCUGUGGCGAAGGCGUCUCACCAGGACGGCUCCGACAGUGAGGAACGAAAGCUGGGGGAGCAAACCGGAUUAGAUACCCGGGUAGUCCCAGCUGUAAACGAUGCGCGUUAGGUGUAUCGGUGACCACGAGUCACCGAGGUGCCGAAGAGAAAUCGUGAAACGCGCCGCCUGGGAAGUACGGUCGCAAGGCUGAAACUUAAAGGAAUUGGCGGGGGAGCAC